UGAGGAACAUGACUUUCGGUGGGGGAGUAGCCGGCCCAACGGCCGGGUAAUACCGCGUACGACCUUUCGGGGACAUCCUCGAUUGGUGAAAGCAGCAAUGCGCCGAAAGAGUGCCUCGCGACCUAUCAGCUAGUUGGGUGGGGUAACGGCCCACCAAGGCGACGACGGGUAGCUGGUCUGAGAGGAUGGCCAGCCACAGUUGGGACUGAGAUACCGGCCCAGACUCCGUACGGGGAGGCAG
RNAcentral lists this ribosomal RNA (241 nucleotides) under uncultured bacterium. Its description in RNAcentral is "partial 16S ribosomal RNA". It matches the Rfam family "Bacterial small subunit ribosomal RNA", at positions 118 to 351 of the family's 1533-position model. The record is from RNAcentral.